Abrus precatorius (Indian licorice) is the source of this 805-nucleotide RNA transcript. It is a transcript of the gene named protein UXT homolog, with no coding region annotated. The transcript has 7 exons. NCBI's taxonomy places the organism in Eukaryota, Viridiplantae, Streptophyta, Magnoliopsida, Fabales, Fabaceae. The record is from RefSeq and is a predicted model, not a curated record.
UUUGGUUGCGAAUAUAACCGAGUAUUCGUAUUGGCUAAUCCUUUCUCAUGAUAUGGAUAGCCUACGCCAAGAGAAAAUUCAAAGAUUUGAAGAAUUUGUUGAUAAACGCUUGAAACCUGAUCUUCUUCAUGCUAUUGCUCAGCGGGACAAAGUAUUUGAACAACAGAAAACUUUUGCUGAUUUGCGAAAGAACAUUGAAAGCCUAGAGAAGAAUAGUGUAACCAGUCUAAGAACCUUGGUCAAUCUUGGUUCUGAAGUAUACCUGCAGGCCGAAGUGCCCGAUACACAACACAUAUUUGUGGAUAUAGGAUUGGGAUUCCAUGUGGAAUUAACUUGGUCUGAAGCUUUGAAAUACAUCCGAAAAAGGGAAGAAAAGAUAACCAGGCAGAUAGAGGAGUACACUCAGUUGAUUGCAUCAAUCAAAGCCCAAAUUAAGCUAUUAGGAGCCAGAUAAGAUGAACUGGGGAUUAUGUUUGUGGUGUCAUUCUUAAUGGUUCCAAGAAUUCACCUAUGGGCAUCAUUGACUUAGCAGACCCACUCCCUCUCAGAACAUGGGUUAUCAUCCAUCAUUACCUUCAACAUGACUGAAUAGGUUACAAACCAGAAAAAUGUAAAAACAACAUGUCUAAUUGAUUUAACUUCCAAAAUAUAAGAAAAGUCUAAUUUUAAUAGAGUAACGUUUGACAUAAUUCUGGAACUGACCCAGGAUUGAAUUUUCCCUGAAAGAUAUUUUAGGAAAGCUUUAAACUGUUUCAAAUCUAAAUAAUAGUGGUGAUAUUACAUUCUUUGGAGUACCAAAACUUUU